This 3109-nucleotide transfer RNA is filed under the name Phoma sp. Its description in RNAcentral is "large subunit ribosomal RNA". The stretch from base 653 to 724 matches the Rfam family "tRNA". Lineage: Eukaryota; Fungi; Ascomycota; Dothideomycetes; Pleosporales; Didymellaceae. The record is from RNAcentral.
UAUGCUGAAAUUGGUAGACAGGUCCCGCUUAGGACGGGGUGAAAUAAUUCAUAUAAGUUCGAGUCUUAUUACCCAUAUAAAUUAUAUGUAAUAUAGUGUAUUAGUUAGAAUAUAUGCUUACUAGUUUAUGUUUAUAAUUAUUAAUAUGUAGUAGACUAAUGGUAAGUCAUAAAUUUUUGGUAUUUACUUAUGGGUGUUCGAAUCACCCCUACAUAGAAAGGUGGAUGUAGUUCAAUUGGCAGAACAACUGUAUGUGGAACAGUAAGUUCCCUGUUCGAUCCAGGGUAUCCUCCCAGUAUGCUUUAUAUUACUACAAUUAGUUUUUUUUAUAAAUAUUUUUCCUCAUAUAUCCGUUUAUAUUUUAAAACUAUUUGCAAUAAAAUUCUAUAUUUUAGAUACUUAUUUUAUAUCUUUUUUUAGAAUUUUUUUGGUUAGAACUGUUUUUUAAAGAAUUCGCUGUAUAUAUAACUACGAUUUUUAUAAAGCUGUCUAUACACUAAAAUAGCUUUGUGUAAAAUACUUAUUAGCGUAUAGACUCUAGCCCUCUAUAAGUUAGAUAAACUUUAUCUCUAGCUAAAAAUAAGUUAAAUUUAGUUUAAGCUACAACUAAACUAGAAACUAGCCGCGGCUACUUCUAACAAACAAAUAAUAAGCCAGGAUAGUUCAAUUGGUAGAACAUUAAUUUCAUGCAUUAAUAGUGGGAAUUCAAAUUUCUCUCCUGGCUAUAGGAACGAUAUUUUUUUAUUGUAAACUUAACUGACGACUUACAGCUUAGUAAACUACGUAUUAAAAAAGGCGUUUCUUUCAUCUUUUAAUAGUAUUGUUAAACUUGUGAUACAAAUGUAAAUCUUACAGCUAUUAUAUUUAGCGUUGUUGAGAUAAUGAUAGGAAAGUCCGGUGAUUAAUAUAUAGCUUUUUUAGUGGGGCAUAAGCUUGGGUAAUACACAGAGAAUUUAAUAAUAAAAACUUUUAGUCUUUUAUUAGAAGUAUGAAAUAAAAAGCCUUAAUUAAUCUUUAUUUUAGUUAAAUAUUACACACAGGAUCCGGCUUAUUUGUAUCCAAGUAAUAGCUUUUUAUAUAACAUUACAUUAGAUGAAUCAAACAUUGUUUGCGUUUAAAUGAAUUAACUGUAUGUCAGUAAUAAAUAAUUACUUUAAAGUAAUGAAACUGAAUGUUUCAUUGCUUUUUAUUGUACUAACCACCAUUCUUGUAGUAAAAAUAAUAAUUAUAAAAAUGUUUAACCACUACCUAACAAUAGCGAGUCCGCUAGAUCAAUUUGAAAUAAGAAACUUAUUCAGUAUCGAUACACCAUUAUUAGCAAAUAUGAACCUAUCUAUUACAAACAUAGGAUUAUAUAUGACAAUUGCUGCCUUUAUAGCUUUCUACUUUAGUGUUUUAGCUACUAACCAUUCAAAAAUUACUCCAAAUAGUUGAUCUUUAAGCCAAGAAACACUAUAUGCUACUAUUCAUAGUAUCGUAGUAAACCAAAUUAAUAACAAAAGUGGGCAAGCUUACUUCCCAUUUAUGUAUGCCCUAUUUAUCUUUAUUUUAAUUAAUAAUCUUAUAGGUAUGGUACCAUAUAGUUUUGCAUCAACAUCUCAUUUUAUAUUAACAUUCUCACUUAGUUUCACUGUAGUAUUAGGUGCUACUGUUUUAGGGUUCAAAGAACAUGGAUUAAAAUUCUUUUCUUUAUUCGUUCCAGCAGGUUGUCCUUUAGGAUUAUUACCACUGUUAGUUUUAAUCGAAUUUAUUUCUUACUUAGCUAGAAAUGUGUCUCUAGGACUGAGAUUAGCAGCUAACAUAUUAUCUGGUCACAUGCUUUUAAAUAUUUUAAGUGGAUUCACUUAUAAUAUUAUGAGCUCUGGUAUUAUUUUCUUCGUUUUAGGAUUAUUACCAUUAGCAUUUAUAAUAGCAUUCUCUGGAUUAGAAUUAGGUAUUGCCUUUAUCCAAUCACAAGUUUUUGUAGUUUUAUCUUGUUCAUACAUUAAAGAUGCAUUAGAAUUACAUUAGUUUUUAGUAGCUUUUUUUUAUUUAAAGCAAAAAAAAACAAAGGGGUAUGUUGCAUAGGGCUAUGCAUUUUGAUUGCAGAUCAUAAAUAUAAGGUUCAACUCCUUCGUAUCCCUUUUUUCGCUAAUAUCCUUGAGAUCUAACUUUUUGUUAACUAUUAUAAUAGUAAAAAGUAAAAAACAAAGUUUAGUCUCUUACUAGUCAAUGGAAAAAUAUCCAUCUUUCUAUGGUUAACUAAAGAUCGUAGUAUGGGAUAGCUAAAAAAAAUUAUAUUGCAACGAAAGAAAUUUUUUUACAGGUAUAACCUACGUUUUAUUACCAUACCUUAUAUCACUUACAGGUAUUAUCUACGCUUUAUUACCAUACUAUACAUAUGGUUUUGUGAAAAGUAUAAAUGAUACAUUAUCAUUUACUACGAAUUAGAAGAAUUUAUUUUUUUGUUUUAUAAAUGUUAUUAACAUCUUUACUUAUAACUCCUAUACUGGGUGUACUUGCCAUUUUAGUGAAUAGAGAGAAUGGAAUCUCUUUAACAAACAUAAAAAUCAUAGCUCUAUCCACAUCUGUUUUAAAUUUCUUCAUAUCAUUAAUAAUCUUUAUUUUAUUCGACUUUAGUACUAACCAAUUCCAAUUUGUACAAGAGUACCAUGAAAUAAGUUAUUUUGAUUUUUAUUUAGGUGUAGAUGGUUUAUCUAUAUAUUUUGUUUUAUUAACUACAAUUAUUAUUCCUAUUUCAUUGUUAUCUAAUUGAAAAUCUAUAUCUAAAGAUGUAGAAGCCUAUAUUAUGAUUAUUUUACUAUUAGAAAGCCUGUUAUUAGCUGUUUUCUUAGUAUUAGAUAUUUUACUUUUCUACAUUUUCUUUGAAAGUAUAUUACCACCUCUUUUCAUUCUAAUAGGUAUAUUUGGUUCAGAUAAUAGAGUUAAAGCGAGUUUUUACUUGUUUUUAUAUACGUUAUUAGGUUCUUUAUUUUUAUUACUUUCUAUAUUGGCAAUGUCUUCUAUUAUGAGUACUACUGAUUUUGAUACUCUUUUUAAAGGAAAUUUCCUUUAUAUAACACAACUUUUCUUAUUCUAUGGUAUUUUUAUUGCUUUUGCCGUAAAAACA